CGUCUAGGUGGUGCAGUUAGUCAUAGGUGAAAGCCCCGGGCUUAACCCGGGAAGUGCUUAUGAUACUGCUGCACUUGAGGCUGGGAGAGGAGAGCGGAAUUCCUAGUGUAGCGGUGAAAUGCGUAGAUAUUAGGAGGAACACCAGUGGCGAAGGCGGCUCUCUGGACCAGUACUGACACUAAAGCGCGAAAGCUAGGGUAGCAAACG
This 207-nucleotide ribosomal RNA is filed under the name uncultured bacterium. RNAcentral's name for it is "partial 16S ribosomal RNA". It matches the Rfam family "Bacterial small subunit ribosomal RNA", at positions 568 to 774 of the family's 1533-position model. The record is from RNAcentral.